AUGUCACAGUACUGGUGGGGAGACGAGGAUGAGAAGAAGCAUAUGCACUGGUUUACGUGGUGGAAAAUGUGUGUGCCAAAGACCAAUGGAGGUAUGGGUUUUAGAGAUGUACACUGCUUCAAUCUGGCGCUCCUAGCAAAGCAGUGCUGGAUAUUGUUACCAGAACCUGAUUCUUUAUGUGCCAGAGUAUUGAGGGCAAAGUAUUUCCUGGACGGUGAUUUACUGAACUGUUCCCUCAAGAAAGGCAGUUCUUAUACAUGGCAGAGCUUGUGGAGUGGUAUUUAGACUUUCAAGAAAGGUUAUAUAUGGAGAGUGGGAGAUGGCACUCAAAUAAGUAUUUGGAGUGAUCCUUGGGUACCCAGCAGCCCAAACAGGAAGGUAAUGACUCCAUGA
This 393-nucleotide ribosomal RNA is filed under the name Triticum aestivum (bread wheat). RNAcentral describes it as "partial small subunit ribosomal RNA". Lineage: Eukaryota; Viridiplantae; Streptophyta; Magnoliopsida; Poales; Poaceae. The record is from RNAcentral.